Molecule: transfer RNA, 72 nt
Filed under: Camelus bactrianus (Bactrian camel)
Lineage: Eukaryota; Metazoa; Chordata; Mammalia; Artiodactyla; Camelidae
Also listed under: 2 other names
Rfam family: tRNA
About the family: Transfer RNA (tRNA) molecules are approximately 80 nucleotides in length. Their secondary structure includes four short double-helical elements and three loops (D, anti-codon, and T loops).
Source: Rfam by way of RNAcentral
GAGGGUAUAACUCAGUCGUAGAGUGCAUGCUUAGCAUGCAUUAGGUCCUGGGUUCAACCCUCAGUACUUUCA